AGCCUUUUGCAUUUAUAAAAGGUUAUGUCUGCCCAAUGUUAUAAAUAAUAAAUGGAUACAAAUUGUAUAAAGUAGCAUAAUAAUUUGUCUUUUUAAUGGAGACCAGAAUGAAUGACAUUACGAAGCUCAACUGUCUCUUAGUAUUAAACAAAAAUUGAUUCAAAAGUGAAAAAUCUUUUAUUUAUUUGUAGGACGAUAAGACCCUAUAGAGUUUUAGUAUAAAAAAUAUUAAAUACUAAUAUUUUAAUACUUUUGUUGGGGCAACAUAAGAACAAUAAAAAUCUUAACCAUAUUAAACCUUUAAAAGAAAAUAAACCAAACUACCUUAGGGAUAACAGUGCAAUCUUACCAGAGAGAACUAAUCGAAGGUAAGAUAUGCAACCUCGAUGUUGGACCAGGAAAACUAUUAAUAUGCAGAAGUAUAAUAAAGUGAGUCUGUUCGACUCUUAAAAUCCU
Molecule: ribosomal RNA, 456 nt
Filed under: Reteporella tristis
Lineage: Eukaryota; Metazoa; Bryozoa; Gymnolaemata; Cheilostomatida; Phidoloporidae
Description: partial large subunit ribosomal RNA
Rfam family: Archaeal large subunit ribosomal RNA
Source: RNAcentral